UUGGCGGUAUCUUAUAUAAUCAGGGGAACCUGUCACUUAAUACGAUAAUCCACGAGCAUCAUCACCUUUUUUAGAAUAACAGCCUGUGUACUGCUGUCGUCAGUAAACCUUUAAAAGAAAGUUUACAAAUAUAUAAAACCUAUAUUCACGUCAAGUCAAAGUGCAGCUAAUAAAAAGGGGUAGAUGGGUUACAAUCUUAAAAUGGAUACGGAUAUAUCUCAAAUUUAAUAUUGAAGGUGGACUUGAAAGUAAUGCUAUAAAGUCAUGAAGUAUAAUCUAAGAUAUGCACACAUCGCCCGUCACUCUCGUCUAAAGACU
RNAcentral lists this ribosomal RNA (318 nucleotides) under Mesenchytraeus gigachaetus. RNAcentral describes it as "partial small subunit ribosomal RNA". Lineage: Eukaryota; Metazoa; Annelida; Clitellata; Enchytraeida; Enchytraeidae. The record is from RNAcentral.